GACGAACGCUGGCGGCGUGCUUAACACAUGCAAGUCGAACGGAAAGGCCCUGCUUUUGUGGGGUUCUCGAGUGGCGAACGGGUGAGUAACACGCGAGUAACCUGCCCUUGACUUUGGGAUAACUUCAGGAAACUGGGGCUAAUACCGGAUAGGAGCUCCUGCUGCAUGGGGGGGGUUGGAAAGUUUCGGCGGUUGGGGAUGGACUCGCGGCUUAUCAGCUUGUUGGUGGGGUAGUGGCUUACCAAGGCUUUGACGGGUAGCCGGCCUGAGAGGGUGACCGGCCACAUUGGGACUGAGAUACGGCCCAGACUCCUACGGGAGGCAGCAGUGGGGAAUAUUGCACAAUGGGCGGAAGCCUGAUGCAGCAACGCCGCGUGCGGGAUGACGGCCUUCGGGUUGUAAACCGCUUUCGCCUGUGACGAAGCGUGAGUGACGGUAAUGGGUAAAGAAGCACCGGCUAACUACGUG
Molecule: ribosomal RNA, 468 nt
Filed under: uncultured bacterium
Lineage: Bacteria
Description: partial 16S ribosomal RNA
Rfam family: Bacterial small subunit ribosomal RNA
Source: RNAcentral